GCGGCGGGUGCUGCGGGGGCGGGGGUGGCGUUCGCGUCGCCGAUGAUGGCGAGGACUGCGCCGACCUCGACGGUCUCGUCCUCGGCGACGCG
This 92-nucleotide transfer RNA is filed under the name bioreactor metagenome. Its description in RNAcentral is "tRNA-Ala". The record is from RNAcentral.